CUCUUCCGUCCUAGGUGCAACGAAUAGGCAGAAAAUAAUCUACUUCGUAUCACGCGUCGUGGACACACCAGUAAGUCUUUAAUGCGGAAAGACGUCUGCCCUGAGCACGAGUCCGCUCAGAGGGAAGGUGAGCCAGGACUGGCAUCCGAGCGUGCGGGCUCUCCCGGUGAUGAUACCAGCAUGGAUAGUUCCAAACAAAACAAACAAAUACACCAAAAGAUACAGCAUUUGUGAAUUUUACGUCACUAAGGCAAACAAAAAUGGGCCAAAAGAGACUUGAACUUCUCCCCCCAGGAAAAAAGAAAAGCAUUUAUAUGACAUCUCCUUAGAGAGGCAUCACUCUGCUUUCCCGUCAACAGACAGAAAUAGCACACCCCACGGUGCACGAAGUCCACACGAGCCAUUCAAAUCCACAUUAAGAAACCGGUGUCUGCCUCGGACAUCUGACAGCGCGCGGCACCAACCUGAACCGCGUCCCUUGGCCAAGCGUGCAACCUCAGCACUCCGAUCAGAGACUCGAUGCGGGGAAACAGGUAGCACGACAAAUGGGUACAAAAUCCUGCCUACACCAUGGAUUCCAGGGCCAGAAAGAAGCCAAUGGAAGAUAUUGUGAAUUCCUAUCUAUCGAGUAUUCAUCAACUUUGCCCGUUGAAAAGAAAAAUCAGUCCGAGAGCUGUAAUUGUAUUAUGUUUAAUAUUCAUGGUUGGGUUUGGAGGGCUGUUCCAACACUCCCUCUCUCCAGCCCCUCUCUAAUGAAAAUCACACCACAGGAGUCGGCUCUAGCCCGCCAAUUAAAAUAAAAGACACCAGAACCUUCCAAAGCGUCCAGCAGAGGAGCAUCCAUCUGAUGGGCAGGAAAACGUGCUGGAACUGAGAGGGAGGCACGCUCUGGUUGGUCCUGUGCUAAGAGCUUUGAAUAACUUAUUAUAACACUUGCAGAUGGAGCAAACACAACAUUUACGCCCCACUCACACUCUCUGACAGCAGGCAGCAGCGCACCACAACCUCAUAUCUGUCGGGGCCAGAAGUAAGUGCCGAGACUCUAUAACUGGGGGUCAUCACUCAGGGCCUACCUCCCAUUGGUUUGGAUUCAAAAGUCCUGAAUGGUAAUAAGGCAAACUGUAUUUGAUGGCAAAGACGAAGCCUAUUCAGACUCUGGCUCAGCAGUUUCAUUUAGAAGGACCUGACCUAAAGCUGUAUUUCUAUCCAGGAAAUAGAGGGAACAAAUAAGAAAACAUGAAACUUUUUUUUUAAAGACCAAAUUAAUCAAGAAAGUUUUGUGUUGUUUUUUUUUUUAAACAAAUCAAUACAUGAUUCUGUUUUGUCUUGCUGAACCUGGGCUCUUAUAUUAGAGAAUCUUAAAUAUAA
Ailuropoda melanoleuca (giant panda) is the source of this 1368-nucleotide long non-coding RNA. RefSeq lists it as uncharacterized. The record is from RefSeq and is a predicted model, not a curated record. The transcript has 3 exons. Lineage: Eukaryota; Metazoa; Chordata; Mammalia; Carnivora; Ursidae.